Molecule: ribosomal RNA, 254 nt
Filed under: uncultured bacterium
Lineage: Bacteria
Description: partial 16S ribosomal RNA
Rfam family: Bacterial small subunit ribosomal RNA
Source: RNAcentral
CGUAGGUGGCAAGCGUUGUCCGGAAUUAUUGGGCGUAAAGCGCGCGCAGGCGGUCCCUUAAGUCUGACGUGAAAGCCCCCGGCUUAACCGGGGAGGGUCAUUGGAAACUGGGGGACUUGAGUGCAGAAGAGAAGAGCGGAAUUCCAUGUGUAGCGGUGAAAUGCGCAGAGAUAUGGAGGAACACCAGUGGCGAAGGCGGCUCUUUGGUCUGUAACUGACGCUGAGGCGCGAAAGCGUGGGGAGCAAACAGGAUU